Mesoplodon densirostris (Blainville's beaked whale) is the source of this 277-nucleotide long non-coding RNA. RefSeq lists it as uncharacterized. The record is from RefSeq and is a predicted model, not a curated record. The transcript has 3 exons. NCBI's taxonomy places the organism in Eukaryota, Metazoa, Chordata, Mammalia, Artiodactyla, Ziphiidae.
GCUCCUGAGGGCUGGGACUUGCUUGGUUCACAGCUGAACCUCCAUGUCUGGAUCAGCGUAGGGCUCAGUAAAUGCUUGAUGAAUGAAUUAAGUCUCCACCAAAUGACUUUACUUCCUCAGCAGGAUCCUCGGGCUGCACAUCAGAGGUGGACUCAGAGCCCGUGCAGAAGCAGGAGACCAGAGAGGAGGUGACUGCAAUAGUCCAGGACAGGAAGAGCACAGGACCAAGAAUAUCAGAGAUACUCUGGGAGACACUGAACCUUCUGGACAUAUGGGG